UACGUAGGUGGCAAGCGUUGUCCGGAUUUACUGGGCGUAAAGAGCGCGCAGGCGGUCGUUCAAGUCGCGUGUGAAAGCCCCCGGCUCAACUGGGGAGGGUCACGCGAUACUGAUCGACUGGAAGGCAGGAGAGGGUAGUGGAAUUCCCGGUGUAGUGGUGAAAUGCUUAGAUAUCGUCAAGAACACCGAUAGUGAAGACAGCUAACUAAACUCUAACUGACGCUGAGGCACGAAAGUGUGGGGAUCAAACAGG
RNAcentral lists this ribosomal RNA (253 nucleotides) under uncultured bacterium. RNAcentral describes it as "partial 16S ribosomal RNA". It matches the Rfam family "Bacterial small subunit ribosomal RNA", at positions 524 to 776 of the family's 1533-position model. The record is from RNAcentral.